CACGUAGUUAGCCGGUGCUUCUUUACCCAUUACCGUCACUCACGCUUCGUCACAGGCGAAAGUGGUUUACAACCCGAAGGCCGUCAUCCCGCACGCGGCGUUGCUGCAUCAGGCUUCCGCCCAUUGUGCAAUAUUCCCCACUGCUGCCUCCCGUAGGAGUCUGGGCCGUAUCUCAGUCCCAAUGUGGCCGGUCACCCUCUCAGGCCGGCUACCCGUCAAAGCCUUGGUAAGCCACUACCCCACCAACAAGCUGAUAAGCCGCGAGUCCAUCCCCAACCGCCGAAACUUUCCAACCCCCACCAUGCAGCAGGAGCUCCUAUCCGGUAUUAGCCCCAGUUUCCUGAAGUUAUCCCAAAGUCAAGGGCAGGUUACUCACGUGUUACUCACCCGUUCGCCACUCGAGCACCCCACAAAAGCAGGGCCUUUCCGUUCGACUUGCAUGUGUUAAGCACGCCGCCAGCGUUCGUCCUGAGCCAGGAUCAAACUCU
Molecule: ribosomal RNA, 488 nt
Filed under: uncultured Propionibacterium sp.
Lineage: Bacteria; Bacillati; Actinomycetota; Actinomycetes; Propionibacteriales; Propionibacteriaceae
Description: partial 16S ribosomal RNA
Source: RNAcentral